UGAGGUGCAAGGAAAUUGCAGUGCAGUCAUACAAAGGACAUUUCCUCCUAAAUUACAAGAUCCAGGGAGAUUUACCAUUCAAGUGGUUGAAAGAAAAAAGAAAAAUAGAAAAUGUGCAAAAAUAAAGAAGAAAGAAAGAAAAAAGAAAAAGAGAAAGUUGAGGGAGAAGAGUGAGAAAAAGAGGAAGAGAGGAAAGAAGAAAAGAUCAUAUGAAAAGCCCC
Molecule: long non-coding RNA, 221 nt
Filed under: Vigna radiata
Lineage: Eukaryota; Viridiplantae; Streptophyta; Magnoliopsida; Fabales; Fabaceae
Description: long non-coding RNA (VRAD_LNC013926)
Source: RNAcentral